This 253-nucleotide ribosomal RNA is filed under the name uncultured bacterium. Its description in RNAcentral is "partial 16S ribosomal RNA". It matches the Rfam family "Bacterial small subunit ribosomal RNA", at positions 524 to 776 of the family's 1533-position model. The record is from RNAcentral.
UACGUAGGGGGCGAGCGUUAUCCGGAGUUACUGGGCGUAAAGGGCACGCAGGCGGUCGUGUAAGUUUGGGGUUACAGCUCCCGGCUCAACUGGGAGAGCGCCUUGAAGACUGCAGGACUUGAGGGCCACAGAGGGACACAGAAUUCCGGGUGUAGUGGUGAAAUGCGUAGAUAUCCGGAGGAAUACCAAAGGCGAAGGCAGUGUCCUGGGUGGCACCUGACGCUCAGGUGCGAAAGCUAGGGGAGCGAACGGG